This 238-nucleotide unclassified non-coding RNA is filed under the name Hevea brasiliensis (rubber tree). The record is from RNAcentral. Lineage: Eukaryota; Viridiplantae; Streptophyta; Magnoliopsida; Malpighiales; Euphorbiaceae.
GCUCCCAACUUGCAUGUGUUGCCUACUCAAAAAUUCAUUGCAAGAAAAAUGUUCAAUAGCUAACCUAAUAAUUAAUCCAAUGAGCUAUAGCCCAGUGUUAUUAGAGUUAUCUUCAAAACUGUAAUUAAGGUCUCAAAUUUGAGUCUCAGACAAGCCGAAUAUACCAAAAAGACAAAAUUAUUGUAAAAAAUUUCAGUGACAGCAUGCAGUAUGUAGAUGUAUAUACAUGAACCCACCA